GCGCCCGUAGCUCAGCUGGAUAGAGCAACGGAUUUCUAAUCCGUCGGUCGGGGGUUCGAAUCCCUCCGGGCGCG
This 74-nucleotide transfer RNA is filed under the name Sedimentisphaerales bacterium. RNAcentral's name for it is "tRNA-Arg". It matches the Rfam family "tRNA". Rfam says of the family: Transfer RNA (tRNA) molecules are approximately 80 nucleotides in length. Their secondary structure includes four short double-helical elements and three loops (D, anti-codon, and T loops). Lineage: Bacteria; Pseudomonadati; Planctomycetota; Phycisphaerae; Sedimentisphaerales. The record is from RNAcentral.